Molecule: ribosomal RNA, 425 nt
Filed under: uncultured bacterium
Lineage: Bacteria
Description: partial 16S ribosomal RNA
Rfam family: Bacterial small subunit ribosomal RNA
Source: RNAcentral
GUUAGGAAUAUUGGACAAUGGGCGCAAGCCUGAUCCAGCCAUGCCGCGUGAGUGAUGAAGGCCUUCGGGUUGUAAAGCUCUUUAGUCCACGAAUAUAAUGACUGUAGUGGAAGAAUAAGCCCCGGCUAACUUCGUGCCAGCAGCCGCGGUAAUACGAAGGGGGCGAGCGUUAUUCGGAAUCACUGGGCGUAACGCGUGCGUAGGCUGUUUUGUAAGUCAGAAGUGAAAGCCCAGGGCUUAACCCUGGAAUUGCUUUUGAAACUACAAGACUCGAAUUCGGGAGAGGAUAGCGGAAUUGUCAGUGUAGCAGUGAAAUGCGUAGAUAUUGACAGGAACACCAGUGGCGCAAGCGGCUAUCUGGACCGAUAUUGACGCUGAGGCACGAAAGCGUGGGGAGCAAACAGGAUUAGAAACCCGAGUAGUCC